This 536-nucleotide ribosomal RNA is filed under the name uncultured bacterium. RNAcentral describes it as "bacterial SSU rRNA". It matches the Rfam family "Bacterial small subunit ribosomal RNA", at positions 153 to 692 of the family's 1533-position model. The record is from RNAcentral.
GAAAGCGGCGCUAACACCGCAUAAUACUCUAAAGCACACGCUUCUAGAGUCAAAGCCUUCGGGUGCUUGAGGAUGAGCUUGCGCCAUAUUAGCUUGUUGGUGGGGUAAUGGCCUACCAAGGUUAUGAUGUGUAGCCGGCCUGAGAGGGUGUACGGCCACACUGGAACUGCGACACGGUCCAGACUCCUACGGGAGGCAGCAGUGGGGAAUUUUGCGCAAUGGGCGAAAGCCUGACGCAGNGACGCCGCGUGGAGGAUGACGGCCUUCGGGUUGUAAACUCCUGUCAGAGGUGAAGAAAGCCCUUUCGGGGGCCUGACGGUAACCUCAGAGGAAGCCCCGGCUAACUACGUGCCAGCAGCCGCGGUAAUACGUAGGGGGCAAACGUUGCUCGGAAUUACUGGGCGUAAAGGGUGUGUAGGUGGCUGAGCAAGUCUUAGAUGAAAUCCCGAGGCCUACCCUCGGAACUGUCUUCGAUACUGCUCAGCUUGAGGAUGGUUGAGGAGAACGGAAUUCCCGGUGGAGCGGUGAAAUGCGUA